GAUGAACGCUGGCGGCGUGCCUAAUACAUGCAAGUCGAGCGAACAGACGAGGAGCUUGCUCCUCUGACGUUAGCGGCGGACGGGUGAGUAACACGUGGAUAACCUACCUAUAAGACUGGGAUAACUUCGGGAAACCGGAGCUAAUACCGGAUAAUAUAUUGAACCGCAUGGUUCAAUAGUGAAAGACGGUUUUGCUGUCACUUAUAGAUGGAUCCGCGCCGCAUUGGCUAGUUGGUAAGGUAACGGCUUACCAAGGCAACGAUGCGUAGCCGACCUGAGAGGGUGAUAGGCCACACUGGAACUGAGACACGGUCCAGACUCCUACGGGAGGCAGCAGUAGGGAAUCUUCCGCAAUGGGCGAAAGCUUGACGGAGCAACGCCGCGUGAGUGAUGAAGGUCUUCGGAUCGUAAAACUCUGUUAUUAGGGAAGAACAAAUGUGUAAGUAACUAUGCACGUCUUGACGGUACCUAAUCAGAAAGCCACGGCUAACUACGUG
RNAcentral lists this ribosomal RNA (497 nucleotides) under uncultured bacterium. Its description in RNAcentral is "partial 16S ribosomal RNA". It matches the Rfam family "Bacterial small subunit ribosomal RNA", at positions 28 to 507 of the family's 1533-position model. The record is from RNAcentral.